UACGUAGGGGGCAAGCGUUGUCCGGAAUUAUUGGGCGUAAAGCGCGCGCAGGCGGCUUUGUAAGUCUGUUGUCUAACCCUUGGGCUCAACCCAAGGCCGCAAUGGAAACUGCAAGGCUUGAGUGCAGAAGAGGAAAGUGGAAUUCCACGUGUAGCGGUGAAAUGCGUAGAUAUGUGGAGGAACACCAGUGGCGAAGGCGGCUUUCUGGGCUGCAACUGACGCUGAGGCGCGAAAGCGUGGGGAGCAAACA
This 250-nucleotide ribosomal RNA is filed under the name uncultured bacterium. RNAcentral describes it as "partial 16S ribosomal RNA". It matches the Rfam family "Bacterial small subunit ribosomal RNA", at positions 524 to 774 of the family's 1533-position model. The record is from RNAcentral.